RNAcentral lists this ribosomal RNA (254 nucleotides) under uncultured bacterium. Its description in RNAcentral is "partial 16S ribosomal RNA". It matches the Rfam family "Bacterial small subunit ribosomal RNA", at positions 524 to 776 of the family's 1533-position model. The record is from RNAcentral.
UACGUAGGGGGCGAGCGUUGUCCGGAUUUAUUGGGCGUAAAGAGCUCGUAGGCGGUUUGGUAAGUUGGAUGUGAAAUCUCCAGGCUCAACUUGGAGGGGUCAUUCGAUACUGCCAUGACUAGAGUUCGGUAGGGGAGUGUGGAAUUCCUGGUGGAGCGGUGAAAUGCGCAGAUAUCAGGAGGAACACCCGUAGCGAAGGCGGCACUCUGGGCCGGAACUGACGCUGAUGAGCGAAAGCGUGGGGAGCGAACAGG